This is a long non-coding RNA of Melospiza melodia melodia, 580 nucleotides long. RefSeq lists it as uncharacterized. NCBI's taxonomy places the organism in Eukaryota, Metazoa, Chordata, Aves, Passeriformes, Passerellidae. The transcript has 3 exons. The record is from RefSeq and is a predicted model, not a curated record.
CCAGAAGGUAAACAGGCCGGUCACAGAAUAAUCUCAGCUCAUCAAAAACUAGCUGCGAAAGAAGCAUGUGCCUACAAAGCUGAUCUCCCAUCCUAAAAGUCAGCUGCACAGCAAGGAAACCAAGAGGGCCCAGUUAACCCAGGUGCAUGGGGAGCAUGACAGAGCACCGUGGGCUCCUGUGGGUUUCUGCUGUCCCUCCUCUCGGGCAAGGGUGAGAAGAAGGUGAGAAGGCAGCAGAACGCAGAUUUGGUGAUGGAAGCUGGAAAAGAAGUAAGAAGGAUUGUGUUAGCACUUGCAUCCAGUCUCAACUACAGAAAAUAUCAUGAGCUCCUGUGGACUGAAAUGCUGUGGAUGUGUACAAUGCAUGCACUUACACAAGCCAAAGAAACCCUUAGCUUGGUUUUUCUUUUUUUUUUCUUUUUUUCUAUCAGCACCAGAAACACGAGUUUUGCCCCUUGCUAGAGGCCUGAACUCUUCUUGUGCACAUUUUGGAGUAUGAUUCAGACUAAGUUCUUUUUUUGUCACUGGCCCCAUUACCUAAUGUUUUGCAGUCCUGCCCAAUAAAGAUUUAUUCAUCUCA